GGGCCUUGUACACACCGCCCGUCACACCAUGGGAGUGGGUUGCAAAAGAAGUAGGUAGCUUAACCUUCGGGAGGGCGCUUACCACUUUGUGAUUCAUGACUGGGGUGAAGUCGUAACAAGGUAACCGUAGGGGAACCUGCGGUUGGAUCACCUCCUUACCUGCAAGA
This 167-nucleotide ribosomal RNA is filed under the name Cronobacter sakazakii. RNAcentral describes it as "partial 16S ribosomal RNA". It matches the Rfam family "Bacterial small subunit ribosomal RNA", at positions 1376 to 1533 of the family's 1533-position model. The record is from RNAcentral. Lineage: Bacteria; Pseudomonadati; Pseudomonadota; Gammaproteobacteria; Enterobacterales; Enterobacteriaceae.